UCCCGCAAAGAGCUGCAAGCGACCAGGCGUAACACCAACCAUUGCAAUGGAACAUGGGCAAAGUCCACAGAUAAAUAGCUCCUUCAUUGAGACCCCAUAUCAUAGCACAACUUAACGCCAUGAGAUAUGCCCCCCGGUGGCUAAGCACUACCCCCUUGGGGCUGGCUGUUGUGCCGGAAGUAUAACCCAAAGCAAUACUCUGCCACUCAUCCUCUGGUGGUUUCCAAGCAAACUCAGGGUCACCGCUUUCCAGGAACUUGUCAUAUUCAAUGGCCCCUUUUCCCAGAGCAUCCUUGAGUGACUCGGGACGACAGCUUUUAUCAGAUAUAACAAUCAAUAGUGGAGGGUUAUAAUGGUUAUCAUUCUCUGCUAAGAUUUUCAAAGCAUUCUCUGCCAAGGAAAAGAACUCUUGAUCCACCAUCAAAAUUGCAGAUUUUGAAUGGCCCAGAAGGAAUGCGAUGGUUGAUGCGUUGAGACGAAUAUUGACAGUAUUUAACACUGCUCCAGCCAUUGGAACUCCAAAGUGAGCUUCGUACAGGGCCGGGACAUUUGGUGCAAUUAUUGCUACCGUGCUUCCAGCGCCGAUGUUGCGCCUGGAUAGAGCCGAGGCCAAUCGACGGCACCGUUGGUAGGUCUGCUCCCACGUAUAGUGAACUGAUCCAUGAACCACGGCUGUUCUGGUGGGGUGUACCGUAGCUGCUCUCUCCAGGAACCACAGCGGCGUCAAGGCCAUGUAGUUAGCAUCAAGCUUGGGAAGGUCAUCUAUGUCCCUCGCCAUCGUCUGCACCUACCUCUAUCUCUCUCUCUAAAGCUGGGAACCAAA
This 823-nucleotide unclassified non-coding RNA is filed under the name Hevea brasiliensis (rubber tree). The record is from RNAcentral. Lineage: Eukaryota; Viridiplantae; Streptophyta; Magnoliopsida; Malpighiales; Euphorbiaceae.